RNAcentral lists this ribosomal RNA (810 nucleotides) under Dermacoccus nishinomiyaensis. Its description in RNAcentral is "bacterial SSU rRNA". It matches the Rfam family "Bacterial small subunit ribosomal RNA", at positions 566 to 1376 of the family's 1533-position model. The record is from RNAcentral. Lineage: Bacteria; Bacillati; Actinomycetota; Actinomycetes; Micrococcales; Dermacoccaceae.
AGCUUGUAGGCGGUUUGUCGCGUCUGCUGUGAAAGACCGGGGCUUAACUCCGGUUCUGCAGUGGGUACGGGCAGACUAGAGUGUGGUAGGGGAGACUGGAAUUCCUGGUGUAGCGGUGAAAUGCGCAGAUAUCAGGAGGAACACCGAUGGCGAAGGCAGGUCUCUGGGCCAUUACUGACGCUGAGAAGCGAAAGCAUGGGGAGCGAACAGGAUUAGAUACCCUGGUAGUCCAUGCCGUAAACGUUGGGCGCUAGGUGUGGGACUCAUUCCACGAGUUCCGUGCCGCAGCUAACGCAUUAAGCGCCCCGCCUGGGGAGUACGGCCGCAAGGCUAAAACUCAAAGGAAUUGACGGGGGCCCGCACAAGCGGCGGAGCAUGCGGAUUAAUUCGAUGCAACGCGAAGAACCUUACCAAGGCUUGACAUACACCGGAAUCAUGCAGAGAUGUGUGCGUCUUCGGACUGGUGUACAGGUGGUGCAUGGUUGUCGUCAGCUCGUGUCGUGAGAUGUUGGGUUAAGUCCCGCAACGAGCGCAACCCUCGUUCCAUGUUGCCAGCACUUCGGGUGGGGACUCAUGGGAGACUGCCGGGGUCAACUCGGAGGAAGGUGGGGAUGACGUCAAAUCAUCAUGCCCCUUAUGUCUUGGGCUUCACGCAUGCUACAAUGGCCGGUACAGAGGGUUGCGAAACCGUGAGGUGGAGCUAAUCCCAAAAAACCGGUCUCAGUUCGGAUUGGGGUCUGCAACUCGACCCCAUGAAGUCGGAGUCGCUAGUAAUCGCAGAUCAGCAACGCUGCGGUGAAUACGUUCCCG